AUUCCCGCCCCAUUUAGUCGUCUUCUUUCCGUCCGACCUAGGUUUCAGACAUCACACCCGACGGUCACCUUUCCCUAACGCCUGCCGGCCGCAUUGAUACCUUCUUUACUCACAUUUUCUACGUAAUAAACCCACUCUUCAUCAUUCACUUUACCUCAUCCCUUUCCCAGAGUAACCGAGAAAAGCUUAUACUAUAAAUAUCUCCACUUCUAUCGAUGAGCAGCACAGAUUCGACGAGAUCCAGAAGAAUAGUCUUUUCACUUACUGAUCACUGCGAUGGCGAAUUCCUUUACCCUCCUUGCAGAUUUGAAAGCUGGGCGAUGCUCCAACACUGCGGAGGUUCGUUUGCUGAGAUUUUGGGAGGCAAGAAAUGUCAGAAACCGUCUCACUGAAGGAUCUGUCUACAGUUUAAGCGGGGUCGAUGUUACGCGCAGAAACCCCAAUUUCAGGUUGUCUGAUGCUCCCUCUCCAUACGGUUCAAUGAUGGAACCUCUUUUGAUAAGCUACCGGAGUCCGCUAGGCCCAUACCUACUGAGCUGUUCUGAUUACGACCAUACAAUCAGUUACUUGAACUGGCAAACACCGGCAAACAGCUCCCUGACAUGAUUGGUGAGCUAAAUGCAAUCCGGAGUACAAUCACCGAUCGUAUACCGGGGGCACAGUGUGUAAUGCUUACAAUGCGUCUAAAAAGUGGUGAUAACGUUUGUGUUAGUAUGUUUGACUCUAUGGCUCUUGCAUUUCAUAGCAAAUUUGAGAGCUACGGGAAAGAACCCAAAAUUGUGCUUGCCACAAGCGUAAAUCCUAAGAUAGUUGGGGAUAAGUGAGUAUCUGUUUUUUUUAUUUGUACUCUGAUGAUUUUUUUUUUUCUUUUGCUAAAAGGUUAAUAUUCAUAUUGACGAAGGAGUUAGAUUUACAAAAUCAUUACAGCACCACCAUGGCAAAAAAGUGAUUACAGUCCGGAUGUCUUUGUCGAUAAGCCGGAAUACCUCAGCUGUGGAGAGGGAGAUUUUGUUGUGAAUGACGUUAUUGCGCUGCUUCCACAGAUGAAAAACAAUAGCUUGGUAAGUGAGUCUACGAAGAAUUACGAGAGGAGAGGAGUGUGGCCCUCCCUCUAUUCCACGACAGUAAUUACGAGGCCGGUUAUUUCUGAAUGCUACUUAUGCCACACAUCUCUAUUUUGACUCUGAGACUGCCGCAGGAAAAGAAGUGUUUGACAGGCA
Molecule: long non-coding RNA, 1220 nt
Organism: Brassica napus (rape)
Lineage: Eukaryota; Viridiplantae; Streptophyta; Magnoliopsida; Brassicales; Brassicaceae
Exons: 5
Source: RefSeq, a predicted model, not a curated record